RNAcentral lists this microRNA (21 nucleotides) under Ananas comosus (pineapple). RNAcentral's name for it is "microRNA s1205_c022b". Lineage: Eukaryota; Viridiplantae; Streptophyta; Magnoliopsida; Poales; Bromeliaceae. The record is from RNAcentral.
CUGAAAGCUGAAGGUUUCAUC